RNAcentral lists this ribosomal RNA (1027 nucleotides) under Mesabolivar sp. ITV1036I1. Its description in RNAcentral is "16S ribosomal RNA". The record is from RNAcentral. Lineage: Eukaryota; Metazoa; Arthropoda; Arachnida; Araneae; Pholcidae.
AAUCAAUAUAAACACAAACCAAACCAAUUUAAACUGAAUAGGAAAUUAACAUGAAUACAAUAAGAUUCACAUACCUUUAGUAUCAGGGAACUAGAAAAUAAAAUUUAUAUAAAAAUUUUCCCGAAAUAAUUAAGAUCUAAAUAAAUUGAAAAUAACUAAAUGUAACAUAAUUACAAAAUUUCAUUUAGAAGCGACACACAAAACAAUUAAUAAAAUAUCUGGUUUUUAGUCAUUAAAAAUUUAAUAACUAGUUAAAAUCAUAAAUUAAUUUUAAUUAUUCAACAAAGUAAACUAUAAACCAACUUUAAGAAUAAAAGUAACUACAAAGUUCACAAACAUAAAAUUUAAUAAAAUUCCAAUUUUAAAAACUAAAAAUAAUCAAAAAUAAAAAUUUAAUUCUAUUUAUAAGUAAUUUUCUAACAAUAAUUAAUAAACAUCAAUAACAACAUAAAUUCAUCAUUAAAAAAAAUUAAAGAACUCUACAAUAUUCUAUUCGUCUGUUUACCAAAAACAUUUCUUUAAGAAAUAAUUUAAAGUAAAACCUGCUCAAUGAAAGAAUUAAAUAGCCGCAAUUUUCUGUGCUAAGGUAGCAUAAUCAUUAGUUUUCUAAUUAAAAAAUAGAAUGAAAGGUUAAACGAAAUAGAGACUGUUUCAAAAAAUUUAAAAUAAAUUUAAAAUUAAAGUUAAAAUUCUUUAAAUUAAAAGAAAGACGAUAAGACCCUAUAAACUUAAUAUUUAGCUGGGGCGGCUUUUUAAAAAAACCUUAACUACAAACGCAACGAACCAAAUAAAAAUUUUCAGAAAAGUUACUUUAGGGAUAACAGCGUUACUUUUUUUAAAAGACCUUAUAAAAAAAAAUCCUUCGACCUCGAUGUUGAAUUAUAAACCUAUUUAAAGUAAAAAUUAAAAAAGGUGGUCUGUUCGACCGACAAAUAUAUACAUGAUUUGAGUUCAGACCGGUGAAAGCCAGGUCGGUUUCUAUCUUCUAAUAUUAAUAUUUAGUACGAAAGGACCAGUUUUAAUUUUA